Molecule: long non-coding RNA, 3447 nt
Filed under: Sus scrofa (pig)
Lineage: Eukaryota; Metazoa; Chordata; Mammalia; Artiodactyla; Suidae
Description: lncRNA (ENSSSCG00035076363.1)
Source: RNAcentral
GGCCACACCUACAGCAUAUGGAAGUUCCCAGGCUAGUGGAGCCACAGCUGCAGGUCUCCGCCUCAGCUACAGCAACACCAAAUCUGAGCCACAUUUGCAACCUACACCUCAGCCUGCAGCAACACCAGAUCCUUAACCCACUAAGUGAGGCCAAGUGUGGAAACUGCAUCAUCAUGGACACUAUAUCAAGUUCUUAACCAAAUGAGCCACAAUGGGAACUCCUAUCUGACAGUUUCUUUUUCGAUGAUUUUUUUCUAUGUGACUCUUAGCUCCUUUUGUAUGGGUGACUGUAAAUUCCUAGAGAGAUUGCUUUUGACUUUUUGAGCCCACAGGACAGUUAAAGACCAACAUCUUCUGAGAUUAUAACAAUUGUCAACCCAGAAUUAGAGAUACUCCUUCACUCGCUCCCAGAAUCUUGUAAGAAGAAUUGCAGGAGAAAAGUCUAUCUAUCAAGUACAAUGACCAAAGGCAAGGAAGCAAGCAUCUGGGCAUCCGGGUGGCAAUUCUGGCUCUCAGAAAAUUCUGUUUUAUUAUAAGUCAGGCUUAUUGCAUUUAAAAUACAAAUCAUCACACACUGAAGCCUCUGGUUUUUAAACUGUUCACUCUACCUUCAAAACACUGGGCUGUUUAUCUCCUAUUUUGUUUUGUUUUGUCCUGUUCUUUCUCUCCAGGUCCCAGGGGAUGCCCUGGAUCAAUACAGCCUUCUCCUGAACACAGGGCAGCAAGUCACCAAGCUUGUCCAUCACUCUUCCCAAGCUGACAUAUUCAAAAGACCUGAAGUAGCUACAUCUGUUCAGUCAAGUUAUUACAAGCAGCUUUGAGAGCGAGCCCCCCACGGAGCCAAACAACCACAGCCCAGCCUCCUCCAGGUCCUUGAGAGGUUGCAGCCACCAGCAAUCAGCACAAGCAGUCCUGCUUUCUCCAUCACAAGACAACCCCUCCUCAUUGUAAAAGGUUUGCUGCAGCCUUUUGCUUUGGGGGUAUUUUUAUAAUGAGCAAAUGUGGCUUACAGAGAGCAUCAUUUUCAGACAGAGAAUGAAAAAUAUUUUGCGUCUUAAAAAUGUGGACAUCUUGAACCUAUAUAUGUGUACACACUUUAUUUGCACAGACAUACCUCAGAGAUAUUGUGGGUCUGGUUCCAGACUACUGCAAUAAAGUGAGUAUCACAGUAAAACAAGUCACACACUUUUUUUGGUUUCCCGGUACAUACAAAAGAUUUACACUAUUCUAUAGAGUCAGCAUGCAAUGGCGUUACAUUUAGAAAAACAAUGGUUGCCACAAACUGUCAAUCUGCAAAAAACACAAAAUCUACAAGCACAACGAAGCAAAGCACAAGAAAAUGAGGUCAGCCUGUAUAUUAGUAUGUAUUUAGGUACAUAUUUUCCUCCAUUGUGUUUUUCAAGGUUAUUUGUCCCGUAGUAUAGUAUUGGGCUCACCAGUGUUUAAUAAGAUUUUAGGUGCACUCAAGUUCUAUUCUCUCUUCCUCUGACAGAUGAAUCAAUAGAUUAAAAAAAAGACAAGCGCUGAAAUUUGUAAUUCCUAGGUUGCUGGAAAGCACUGUAAAUUUCACCUUAGGGCCAGAUGUGUAUGACUCACAUAAGUCAGUUCCAGGCUGGGGCACAGGUAGAAACCCUCACUGACUAUUGUUCCUAGUAGUGACAGGUGUGCGGGCACCUGCAGAACACAUACUGCUCUUCCUGCCAUAGAUGAGAUAUCAGCACACCACCAUGCCCACAAGUUCAACCUUCUUUCAAACAAACAUCACUUCUUAGAUCAUACAUGUCACAGCAGCUGCUCAAUAUUUUAAAAUAUGGGCCCAGAGUUCCCUCGUGGCUCAGAAGGUAAAGGAUCCGGUGUUGUCAUUGCUGUGACUCUGGUUACAGGCUUUGACGCCUUGCACGGAAACUUCCACAUGCUGUGGGUACCGGCAAGAAAUAAAUAAAUAAAUAAAACAUGGACUGGGUUUUUAACCGUCUUCAAGCUACCAAAGAAGAAGCUGGAGGUACAGGUAGGCUCCUGACUUUCUGCAGUUACUCUCUUCUCAAAAAGAAAUCUCCCCCUAGGCACAUGCAAGAAAGGCUAAAGUAAAAAGCGACAAUGCAAGGAUGUGGAGAACCUGGGUCCCUCAUGCAGUGCUGAUGGGAAUGUCCAAUGGGGCAGCCACUCUGGAAAACAUUUUGGCAGUGUCUUAUAAGGUAGGCAUGUACUCAACGUAUAACCCAGUAAAUGCACUCUGGGGCACUUGGUCCCAGGGAAACGAAAACUUCGGUUCACAUAAAACCCUGUACACAACUGUUCACAAUAACUUUAUUCAUCAUGGCCAAUGACUGGGAAUAGACCACAGGUCCCUCAAGGGUACAAAAUACCAUGGAAUACGAUUCAGCAUAAAAAGGAACCACUGAUAGACACAACAGUUUGGAAGAACCUCAAGGCAACUGUGCUGAGUGCAAAAGUUAGUCCCCAAAGGUUAUAUGUAUGAUUCCAUUUACGGAACACUCUUGAACUAACAAAAUUUUAGAGGUGAGGAACAGAUUAGUGGUUUGCAGGGGUUAGAGAUGGGAGAUAUGAGGCUUUAAAGAGGUAGCAUAAGGAAGCCAUGUGGUUAUGGAAUACUCUGGAUCUUGAUCUGAUGGUUAUAUAAAUUUAUACAUUUGUAUAACAUUUAUACAUCUAUGCUUAAACUGCAUAGAACACACACACACAACUAGUGAAAUCUUAAUAACCUCUGUGGAUUAUAUCAAUGUCUAUUUCCUGGUUGAGAUAUUGUACUACAUACAGUUUUACAAGUUGUUAGCCUGGGGAGACACUGGGUUAAGGAUACAGAGAACCCCCUGCACAUUUCUUGCAAUUUUAUGGGAAUCCCUAUUUCAAAAUUUUAAAAAUGACAAGAAGAAAGUAACCUCUGGAGUCCCCCAUAUUUCUAUUUUCCCUUCUACUUCCCCCAUAGUCCCCUCUUCUCAAAAAUUGUCUGUUUGUUCUAAUACCUCCCCCAUACUAUUUUACAUCUGCUCUAAUCAUAGCUCUGACUGCUCCACCAUCCACAUUUUAACCACUCUCUUCAAGGUCACCAAUGGCAUCCAUGCUCCUCCAUCCCAGGUCAGCUGUUCAUCUUCAUCACGGACCCACCCUCCUAAGCCAAGACCGCCUUUGACAGAAGUGAGCUCACCCUGGUCCUUCGUGCACUUUCUUUACAUCAUGAACCUCCCACGCUCCCUUCUCUGAGGGCCUCCUUCUCAGUUUCAUUUGCAGCUUCCUCCUUCUUUCCCAGAAAUUCCUCUGUGGCCCACUCCUUCCCUGGGUAAAUGCAUCCAGUCUCCCAAGUGUAACCAGUAUGUAACCACAGACAACUCCAAAUUUCCAACUCCAGCAUGGUCCUCAUCCCUGAAUGUCAGAUUUGUAUUCAACAACCCUGGUAAAUCUCUCUGGAGAUAAUUAACAGACAUAUUC